GACGAACGCUGGCGGCGUGCUUAACACAUGCAAGUCGAACGGAAAGGCCUCUUUCGGGGGGUACUCGAGUGGCGAACGGGUGAGUAACACGUGAGUAACCUGCCCUUGACUUUGGGAUAACUUCAGGAAACUGGGGCUAAUACCGGAUAGGAGCUCCUGCUGCAUGGUGGGGGUUGGAAAGUUUCGGCGGUUGGGGAUGGACUCGCGGCUUAUCAGCUUGUUGGUGGGGUAGUGGCUUACCAAGGCUUUGGCGGGUAGCCGGCCUGAGAGGGUGACCGGCCACAUUGGGACUGAGAUACGGCCCAGACUCCUACGGGAGGCAGCAGGGGGGAAUAUUGCACAAUGGGUGGAAGCCUGAUGCAGCAACGCCGGGUGCGGGAUGACGGCCUUCGGGUUGUAAACCGCUUUCGCUCAUGACGAAGCUUUGUGUGACGGUAGUGGGUAAAGAAGCACCGGCUAACUACGUG
RNAcentral lists this ribosomal RNA (467 nucleotides) under uncultured bacterium. RNAcentral describes it as "partial 16S ribosomal RNA". It matches the Rfam family "Bacterial small subunit ribosomal RNA", at positions 28 to 507 of the family's 1533-position model. The record is from RNAcentral.